Molecule: long non-coding RNA, 2495 nt
Organism: Gallus gallus (chicken)
Lineage: Eukaryota; Metazoa; Chordata; Aves; Galliformes; Phasianidae
Exons: 4
Source: RefSeq, a predicted model, not a curated record
UGUUGGAGAGCUCAGAAAAAGAUCUUCUAGCACCAAGUCGUUCCUUGCAGACAGCCCAAACUGUUGGCCAAUAUGUGGAUUUCUGGUGCAGCUGACUGCCAAUAAAGAGGCCACACUGCUGGAAACCUUUGCAUAUCUUCGGGGGUCAGAGUGCUGGGCUUGGGCACUGAGAAGUAUUAAGGCAGUUUUGCAGCCUACCGCAGAUACCAUGAGCUAUGGACUCAUCCAUCCCACAUCUCAUCCAGCUAGUGGAUGAAAUUAGAGAUACAGAGAAAGGGAGAGCAGUCUGCUGCGAGUAAAUGUACUGUACUUCUCUGAGGUGCUCCAGAAAGCUUGGGAGGAUAAAAGGCUGACGGCUUCUCUGGUCUGCCUUGCAGAAAUAAAAAUGAAUACAAAUGAAGGCUGCUCUAUUGGCUUGCUUGCUUCGUGUCUUAUGGAUCUGUCAGGGUAGAGGAGGACUCAAAAACAGGUAACUUUCAAGUUUUUAGGUUCUGUUGUCAGUCAACAGAAAAGUAGAAAGAAGAGAAUCCAAAAUAGCCAGCAGAGAUUCAGAAAAAUCUCUGGAAAUAAAGAUUUGGACAAGGGAAGCACGUGGGGGCCACAACAGCUGUUUGACAUCCAGGAGCUGCUUUCCUCUGACCCUACAGUAAUUAGGAGCUACUGUUACUCAGGACUUCAGUCCUGGCUACUUUUUAACAACCAACACAAUGUAAGAAGUCACAGUACUGCCUGUCGGCCCACAGUUGCUGGAGCACAAGCUCUGGAAUCUGAGCUUUAUGCCAACUGUGGGCACGUUACCACAAGUUGUACCAAGAUACUUCUCCCAUGCGUGAACCUGAUGCCACUGAGUGUAGAGAACUGGCUGUGUCCAGACUUGUGCAGCACAGAAAGCAUUGGCCUGCACGAAUCCAAGCUGGGCUUCUACUGUGAAAAUGGGAAGUGUGGUUAGCAAUUCAAACAAGUUACAGAGGGAUCUCUGGAAUGAAAUACACUGAAAAGUUUUCAAGGUGCUAAAAUGCUCCAGAAAUCAGGGAGUCCAACAUCAAGAAGAGCUGGAAAAAGGCAGAUCCCAAAGAGGAAACAGGAAAUGAAAUGCAAAUAAGGAAGGAAGAGGACAAAUGAAACAUAGUACUGCCCACUGCUGAUAGCUGAACCUUUUCAGCCUGCUAUAUCAAGAUAGAAACAAGAAGAUAGAGAAUGAAGUAAAAUGAAAUAUGCCAAUGGAGCCCUCAAAAAGACAUCUUGCAAAUACAUAUCCUCGUGAAGAAGGUACUACUGCAUGAUGACCUGUGCCAACUACUAGAACGCCUCCGAAACAGUGGACAAAAACUCUAAAUCAUUUUUUGCUAUUGUAUGGGAACUGUUGAGUCAUGGCCUGAACCACUGAUUGAGCACCUGGGGAAGGGACCCUGUCAGCCCUGGGAGCACAGGUGAAGGCAAUUCAGCUGUGUGACCUGAAGGGGUGGGACCCUGGCUGCACCUCUCUUAGACUCCAUUUAAGGGCUGACUGCCACUGAGGAAGGAUCUUUUCCUGGAUUUCUCCCUUGUGAAGUUUUCCCUGCAAGCCUAGAUCUUCAGAUAUGGGUCAUUUCUUUGCACGUCCAGCACUUUUCAAUCCUGUCUCAACCAAAUUUGUAUUUAUGUCCUGGGCUUUGCUGUCUGAAGCUCCAAGGCCGCCAGCAAUGGGAAGUUCUUUGACCCAUGGAACAGCCAAAGGACACCUGCAUUUUACUUGUGAACGGAUUAUGUGUGGAACUCCUCCUGUGGUGGUACCAAAGCGAUGCAAUGUCUUCAUAGCACCGGGAGUGUUCUCCCAGCCUGAAGGUGUGUCAGUUCCAAGCCAGCCUUUCACAAAAACACCCAGACGUUGGCAGCAUCAAACUCUGCUCUGAGUUGCAACCACACAGCAUGGCGUGACCUGCUUGAGCCGCACAGGUCUGCUGCUAGGUGGAGAAGGAACCCAGUAACCAAACUACAGCAGCAGGAGAGGUUGUAUCUUUGGAGAGGCUCCACCAGGCUGCACUUACCAGGUAUAUCUGUGUUGCAGUUAUGUCUUUCUGCCUUUCCGCAGGUGAUCAGAAAGGGUUAAAAAGCCCUGUGAUAUAGGUUGGUGCUCGCACUGAAUCUACACCCACCAUAUAUAUAAGUAUAUAUAUCAGGUUUUGGAGGGGAGGUUACACAUGUCACUGGCCAUAACUCAGACUUUUAUUAUAAUCGUGACCAUAUGGUUAAUGGGACUUAAUAAACCACCAUUGACCUGGACUCUGUGUGCACAAAUCUCUUGCUCUCUUUCUCUUUCUUAACUCACUUGUCUGGACACACUAUGCCAAGCAGCUGCAACUUACAGUUUGAAAGCACCAGUUCCAGUGGUCAGCAGCUAGUUAAUUUAGGAAGAAUAAAACCCCAAGAAAGCCACAUUGCAGCACAGCCCAUGGGGGACAGGAGCUGACCCUCCCAGGGCAGCUGUUCAAUGCAUCCCAUGGAUGUGAGCCUGA